Non-coding RNA from Megalopta genalis, 3714 nucleotides. The record is from RefSeq and is a predicted model, not a curated record. NCBI's taxonomy places the organism in Eukaryota, Metazoa, Arthropoda, Insecta, Hymenoptera, Halictidae.
ACAAACAGAUCGUUUGAAACGUAUUUUCUCCAUACAUAUAGAAUGUAGUAUUAGAAUGUUGUUUAAUUUCGUAGUAAUUUAACCUCAACUCGGUCACCUAUUUAACGAACAAGUCCAUUAUGCAUACUGCGCGUUGUGUUUAAAUAAUAAUUACAUCUUUAACAGACAAAUACAGUGUGUAAUAUUUGAAUAUUUAGCGCGCAUUUUCAUUUGUUCAAGUAAGUCACCGUACAUCACAUAACCGCUAUAAGUGACAUUGUCGCUGUAGUCUAUUUUGGGUUAACGUUGGUCGGUACGUAAGAACGUGUUUAGAAAUUGUGAAUAAGAAGAGAAAAGGCUGUUGGAAUGGAGCCUAUAUCUGCAACACUUCAUCAGGAGAGAUGCCCACAUUGUGUCAACAAAGGAACACAUAUCUCUCGUGGUCGCCCUCGAAUACAAGCAAUACAAUAGCCAAUAAUCAGAAUAUGCGAUUCGACCACAGAAGACAUCCGCAGAUGAUUUGUAGGUCCCAAGGGAGGAUUCUCACUUGUGUCCGAGGAAUGUCUCACAAUACCAUCUUAACCCGCAAUCGUGCAUAAAACUAAUGACACAUAUCUCUCGUGGUCGCCCUCGAAUACAAGCAAUACAAUAGCCAAUAAUCAGAAUAUGCGAUUCGACCACAGAAGACAUCCGCAGAUGAUUUGUAGGUCCCAAGGGAGGAUUCUCACUUGUGUCCGAGGAAUGUCUCACAAUACCAUCUUAACCCGCAAUCGUGCAUAAAACUAAUGACACAUAUCUUUCGUAGCGGCCCACGAAUACAAGCAGUGCAAUCGAAAAUAACCAGAAUAUGCGGUUCGAUGACUCUGAUAACAUCUGUAAAUCAUUUAUCGGUCCCAAGGAAGGAUAUUCACUUAUGUCCGGGAAACAUCUGACUACCAUCUUCACCCGUAAUCGUUCAUUAUACUAAUAACACAGAUCUUUCGUAGCGGCCCACGGAUACAAGCAGUACAAUUGACAGUAACCAGAACAUGCGGUUUGAUUUCUGAGGACAUCCGCUGAUGAUAUAUGGGCCCAAAGAAAGAGUAUUCACUUGUGUCUAAGGAACAUCUAAUUACCAUGCUCACCAACAAUCGUUCAUUAUAAUUAUAACACAGAUCUUUCGUAGCGGCCCACGGAUACAAGCAGUACAAUUGACAGUAACCAGAACAUGCGGUUUGAUUUCUGAGGACAUCCGCUGAUGAUAUAUGGGCCCAAAGAAAGAGUAUUCACUUGUGUCUAAGGAACAUCUAAUUACCAUGCUCACCAACAAUCGUUCAUUAUAAUUAUAACACAGAUCUUUCGUAGCGGCCCACGGAUACAAGCAGUACAAUUGACAGUAACCAGAACAUGCGGUUUGAUUUCUGAGGACAUCCGCUGAUGAUAUAUGGGCCCAAAGAAAGAGUAUUCACUUGUGUCUAAGGAACAUCUAAUUACCAUGCUCACCAACAAUCGUUCAUUAUAAUUAUAACACAGAUCUUUCGUAGCGGCCCACGGAUACAAGCAGUACAAUUGACAGUAACCAGAACAUGCGGUUUGAUUUCUGAGGACAUCCGCUGAUGAUAUAUGGGCCCAAAGAAAGAGUAUUCACUUGUGUCUAAGGAACAUCUAAUUACCAUGCUCACCAACAAUCGUUCAUUAUAAUUAUAACACAUAUCUCUCGUGGUGGCCCUCGAAUACAAGCAAUGCAAUCGAAAAUAACCAGAAUAUGCGGUUCGAUGACUGAUGACAUCUGUAGAUGAUUCGUCGGUCCCAAGGAAGGAUAUUCACUUGUGUCCGAGGAACAUCUAAUUACCAUGCUCAUCGACAAUCGUUCAUUAUAAUUAUAACGCUCGUUCCCCGCUGUGAAUCUGAUAGCAAUAAAGCUGACAACUGCCAGACCCUAGGGUCAGGUCACCCAGAACGUAUGCCGCGGUCAAUUUAUGCGUUCUGAGAAGAAGUUUCUGCCUUGCAGUCCAGUGUGUUCGGUAAACAUUUUCAAUUUGCUGCCUUUCAUACAUUCCACGAAAUGCGCAAGUAAGUAAUAUAAACAUAAUCCUUAUGAUUUAUUUCUUCAUUUGUUAAUGUUGCUUAUAAUGUUAAACGAUUGGUGUGAGGAAAAUGCAGGUUGCUGUAUAGUGCAAAACUUUUAUAGAGAGAACAGUCGUGUUACUUUGUUAUUUUAUAUAGUAGAAAAACAUUUAAGAUCAAACGUAGUUCUUACAAUUAAUGUUAAACCUACUUAAUUCUUAAUUCUUCUGCAUUUGUUGGGAUUCAGAUGUGGUGAUUAAUGCAUGCUUUAUUUAUGAAAUGGCGAAAUAUGAUUCAGCAAUGUUCUCCCGCUCUAAUCAUUUUCUUUUUAUAGAUUUAACAUUGUUUAUUUCUACUCUAUGUUGUCUGUCAUGUAAAUACGGGGCUAUGAAUUUUACACUUCUAUAUUAUUAAUUUAUACAAAAAGUCCUCCUAACCAUACUCUAUCGAAGGCUUUUUCUAUGUCUAACAGAAGCAUUACUAUUGCCAUUUCUUUAGUGAAACUGAUUCAGAUUUCAUCAGCAAUUCUAUCUACCUGUCGUGUACCGUAUUAUAAUAUUCCAUGAAAUACUUUUCCAUGAAACCAAAUUGUAACGAUCCGAAGUUGUGAUGAUCGUUAAAUCCCUUUCAACGAAUUCUCGCUUGAAAACACUUGGAAAUAUCGAGUGUCUCUGUACAUCCCCUUUCAUUGAAUUAACAUACAUCUCUGAUUUCAAGUCUGUAAUUAAUAGAUCUUUGCUCGGACGUAAGUUCGAUCGAACAUCCCGAAAUAACCCGGUAUUCAUCGAUCGGUGGUUAAAGACCAUCACGCGCCACGGUGAACCACUUUAGGGCAGGGUGAAACCACUCGAGAGGACCACGAAAUCUCUCCCCGUUUACAAGAUCCAAGAUCUAAAUUACGUCUUGACGCGAAACUGAUUUUGGGCGGCUACCCCGAACCUCCUUGCGGCCAGGAUUCCCCGGGCGGCCAUUGUGCCUUCCGAUUCGCCGUAUCCUUUCUCUGUCAAUCAGGAGCGGCGGCCCGACAAUGGCCGCGCGGCGACACAUUGUGUAAUUCGGAAUGAAUGCGAGCUCGGCCUCCGGGUAUAAUUGUUUCACGACAGGUCCCGCGUACCGGGGCCGUGGGCAUUAACGUUUAAGAACGGACUGCGCCGCGCCGGUUUCCAGUCCCGAACAAUGGGGGCCACGGUGCGCGUGGUGCGGUCGGAUAUCUCGUUACACCGUAAUCGAGGAAUAAUCGAUCGCAAAGUUGUAGCACAAGGCAAAUUGCUGGGCGUGGUGAGAACGAUCCAGGAAACUCGAGAGGGCGAAAGACAAGGGCGAACCGAACGAGGAAAUCCGAGAUUUUUCUUCCUUUCCUCUCGCGCGCACCCCCUGCCCGCCCCUCCCCCUCGUGUCCUCUCUUUCACCUUAUCUUUCUCCGUCUCUCCGUCCCUGGUACCCCUAAACGUCCUUUAUUUUUCGUGGCCAUGUAAAAAGUUCUUAUUCAGACCCGUGUUCACCCUCGAUCAAGCCGGACGCGCGUGCGCCCUCGCGCCUGUCUUUGCUACCAUCGGGACGUAGUAACAAAGAUUCGCUUCACAAACACAGGGAUCCCUGAAUCGAGUUAAUUAGAGGUCCGAACAUCUCCGUUCGGCUCUUCUUCCUCUUUUCUGUAGCAGUCUCUCGUUGUCGAGAAUCGGGGUCGAU